This 2394-nucleotide ribosomal RNA is filed under the name Escherichia coli. RNAcentral describes it as "partial 23S ribosomal RNA". It matches the Rfam family "Bacterial large subunit ribosomal RNA", at positions 419 to 2798 of the family's 2925-position model. The record is from RNAcentral. Lineage: Bacteria; Pseudomonadati; Pseudomonadota; Gammaproteobacteria; Enterobacterales; Enterobacteriaceae.
GGGACACGUGGUAUCCUGUCUGAAUAUGGGGGGACCAUCCUCCAAGGCUAAAUACUCCUGACUGACCGAUAGUGAACCAGUACCGUGAGGGAAAGGCGAAAAGAACCCCGGCGAGGGGAGUGAAAAAGAACCUGAAACCGUGUACGUACAAGCAGUGGGAGCACGCUUCGGCGUGUGACUGCGUACCUUUUGUAUAAUGGGUCAGCGACUUAUAUUCUGUAGCAAGGUUAACCGAAUAGGGGAGCCGAAGGGAAACCGAGUCUUAACUGGGCGUUAAGUUGCAGGGUAUAGACCCGAAACCCGGUGAUCUAGCCAUGGGCAGGUUGAAGGUUGGGUAACACUAACUGGAGGACCGAACCGACUAAUGUUGAAAAAUUAGCGGAUGACUUGUGGCUGGGGGUGAAAGGCCAAUCAAACCGGGAGAUAGCUGGUUCUCCCCGAAAGCUAUUUAGGUAGCGCCUCGUGAAUUCAUCUCCGGGGGUAGAGCACUGUUUCGGCAAGGGGGUCAUCCCGACUUACCAACCCGAUGCAAACUGCGAAUACCGGAGAAUGUUAUCACGGGAGACACACGGCGGGUGCUAACGUCCGUCGUGAAGAGGGAAACAACCCAGACCGCCAGCUAAGGUCCCAAAGUCAUGGUUAAGUGGGAAACGAUGUGGGAAGGCCCAGACAGCCAGGAUGUUGGCUUAGAAGCAGCCAUCAUUUAAAGAAAGCGUAAUAGCUCACUGGUCGAGUCGGCCUGCGCGGAAGAUGUAACGGGGCUAAACCAUGCACCGAAGCUGCGGCAGCGACGCUGAUGCGUUGUUGGGUAGGGGAGCGUUCUGUAAGCCUGCGAAGGUGUGCUGUGAGGCAUGCUGGAGGUAUCAGAAGUGCGAAUGCUGACAUAAGUAACGAUAAAGCGGGUGAAAAGCCCGCUCGCCGGAAGACCAAGGGUUCCUGUCCAACGUUAAUCGGGGCAGGGUGAGUCGACCCCUAAGGCGAGGCCGAAAGGCGUAGUCGAUGGGAAACAGGUUAAUAUUCCUGUACUUGGUGUUACUGCGAAGGGGGGACGGAGAAGGCUAUGUUGGCCGGGCGACGGUUGUCCCGGUUUAAGCGUGUAGGCUGGUUUUCCAGGCAAAUCCGGAAAAUCAAGGCUGAGGCGUGAUGACGAGGCACUACGGUGCUGAAGCAACAAAUGCCCUGCUUCCAGGAAAAGCCUCUAAGCAUCAGGUAACAUCAAAUCGUACCCCAAACCGACACAGGUGGUCAGGUAGAGAAUACCAAGGCGCUUGAGAGAACUCGGGUGAAGGAACUAGGCAAAAUGGUGCCGUAACUUCGGGAGAAGGCACGCUGAUAUGUAGGUGAGGUCCCUCGCGGAUGGAGCUGAAAUCAGUCGAAGAUACCAGCUGGCUGCAACUGUUUAUUAAAAACACAGCACUGUGCAAACACGAAAGUGGACGUAUACGGUGUGACGCCUGCCCGGUGCCGGAAGGUUAAUUGAUGGGGUCAGCGCAAGCGAAGCUCUUGAUCGAAGCCCCGGUAAACGGCGGCCGUAACUAUAACGGUCCUAAGGUAGCGAAAUUCCUUGUCGGGUAAGUUCCGACCUGCACGAAUGGCGUAAUGAUGGCCAGGCUGUCUCCACCCGAGACUCAGUGAAAUUGAACUCGCUGUGAAGAUGCAGUGUACCCGCGGCAAGACGGAAAGACCCCGUGAACCUUUACUAUAGCUUGACACUGAACAUUGAGCCUUGAUGUGUAGGAUAGGUGGGAGGCUUUGAAGUGUGGACGCCAGUCUGCAUGGAGCCGACCUUGAAAUACCACCCUUUAAUGUUUGAUGUUCUAACGUUGACCCGUAAUCCGGGUUGCGGACAGUGUCUGGUGGGUAGUUUGACUGGGGCGGUCUCCUCCUAAAGAGUAACGGAGGAGCACGAAGGUUGGCUAAUCCUGGUCGGACAUCAGGAGGUUAGUGCAAUGGCAUAAGCCAGCUUGACUGCGAGCGUGACGGCGCGAGCAGGUGCGAAAGCAGGUCAUAGUGAUCCGGUGGUUCUGAAUGGAAGGGCCAUCGCUCAACGGAUAAAAGGUACUCCGGGGAUAACAGGCUGAUACCGCCCAAGAGUUCAUAUCGACGGCGGUGUUUGGCACCUCGAUGUCGGCUCAUCACAUCCUGGGGCUGAAGUAGGUCCCAAGGGUAUGGCUGUUCGCCAUUUAAAGUGGUACGCGAGCUGGGUUUAGAACGUCGUGAGACAGUUCGGUCCCUAUCUGCCGUGGGCGCUGGAGAACUGAGGGGGGCUGCUCCUAGUACGAGAGGACCGGAGUGGACGCAUCACUGGUGUUCGGGUUGUCAUGCCAAUGGCACUGCCCGGUAGCUAAAUGCGGAAGAGAUAAGUGCUGAAAGCAUCUAAGCACGAAACUUGCC